Non-coding RNA from Cicer arietinum (chickpea), 371 nucleotides. The record is from RefSeq and is a predicted model, not a curated record. Lineage: Eukaryota; Viridiplantae; Streptophyta; Magnoliopsida; Fabales; Fabaceae.
CAAACUAUCUUAACAACCAAAAUACGCCAUUUCCUCUGAUUUAAUUGUAAACCUUCACAAAAUAAAAACUUUUUAUCGUUGAAAUCAAUUUCUACCGAUCAACUUUUGAAGAUCAGCAUUUCUAACUAAUUAGUUAUUUGUUAAGUUGCGAUGAUGUGGAGAAUCCCAAGGUUGCAGCUGAUGCAUAGCAACAAAGUCAUCUUAGUUAUCAUGAAGACUUUCUAUUGAUUUUAUUUUAUUGGCUUGUAUGACAAAACAUGAUUUCGUUUGAGUUUGUUCUUUUUUUUAUCUGCUCUGAUGUGCGGCAGAGGUUGGUUAUUACUCUUAUUUUCUACAAUAUUUUAUACAUGUCUAAAUUUUUAGAAUGUUUA